RNAcentral lists this long non-coding RNA (985 nucleotides) under Monodelphis domestica (gray short-tailed opossum). Its description in RNAcentral is "lncRNA (ENSMODG00000037269.1)". The record is from RNAcentral. Lineage: Eukaryota; Metazoa; Chordata; Mammalia; Didelphimorphia; Didelphidae.
CCUUCAAGAUCUGAAAUUCUAUGACUAUUUCUUUAAUGUUCAUUAAAAUAGAAUUCAUCCUUAGAUUUCAUAUACAUAUGUAAUUUCUUUCUGCACAUCUGUUCUCAUCCAUUAUGAAGUAGACUCUUUACCGAUAUCUUUUUUCUUCUUGAAUAGCACUUCCUCCCCAUAGAGAAACUACCUACUUCUUCUAACAAAGUCAUUUUGCAACCUUUAUUUUUUUUUCAUUUCAGCCUUUCCCAUUCUUAGUUUCUUCCCUUCCUGGACUGUAACUCCAGAUUUUAAUCUGACAUCCUCCUUCCUGAAGAUUUCUAUUUAUGGAUGAUAACUGAGAGUUCAAAUAAGUGUGAACCCUCAGGACCAUUGAAAAGAAGAGUGUGGUUGGCAUUUUUUAGACUUGACAUAUUUCUCGACCUAUAGAAGACCAAGACCUCUGGUACAGGAGGAAAGAGAUGAGCUUGUCUUGAAGGUGCUAUUUGUUGUAAUUAUUGCUUUCCAUUCUUGCUUUGAAUAGAAAAUGUAUUCUUAGGGUAGAUGAAAAUAUGUCUAUGUGUCGGGGUUUCCCUUUUGGGUUCACAGAGAAUUAUAAUGGCCAUGGAUUUGGGCUAAGUAACUAAAAACACAUAAUUCAUUUUGAUAAAUUCUAUUACCAUCUAUAGAAGGAAGUUUUCUUUAUAAAUAUUUGGAUCAUAUUAAAGACUAUAGAGAUUUGAAACUACUCUCAUACUUUUCUGAAUAUGCAACUACCAAUUCUAUAUCUCACUUUUAAAUUACUACUAAGAGGAUCAUCAAACUAUUGCUCUUAUUGCAUCUGCUAAUGAAUUUUACAUGAUCUUAAGACAUUUGUGAGAAAUUCUUUUUGAGCAAAGUAUCUUUAAAGCUAAAUCAUAUAAUUCAGUUAAUUCUUUUUUCUCUAAGAAAAUGCAUGGGAGUUUUUGUAUACUUGAAGUUUUUCAUUAAAAUUAUAUAAAUAUAAAGAUUUGGC